Dreissena polymorpha is the source of this 679-nucleotide long non-coding RNA. RefSeq lists it as uncharacterized. The record is from RefSeq and is a predicted model, not a curated record. Lineage: Eukaryota; Metazoa; Mollusca; Bivalvia; Myida; Dreissenidae. The transcript has 5 exons.
UGCUACAGUGGUGUAACUGCUUAUUUAGCUCAUAUUUGAUAGACUGUUCUAGACUAAGAAGGCAACUAUUGAUUGUUGUUUUUAUAAAAACUCGAAAUGUUAAGUGUGUUUUCUGAAUCAGAACAAAUAAACAACUUCAAGACAUCCGUAAUUAAGGUAUAAAAAGACAACAGCGACCUUAUGUUUUCAUCGACUACAAAAGACCUCCUUCUUAAAGGUUCCUCUUCCUGCAUCAAGGAGCUGAAAAACAUCCAACAUGAAGGCUACACUGCUCUGCGCUUUCUUUGCCGUCUUCCUGGCCACCUCGUGUGUCUUCGGAAAGCCCGUCAACAAUGUCAGAGGAUUGGGCGGCGGAAUGGGCGGUAAGGAAAUGAUGUACGAAUUUGAUGGCGAGAUGGGCGACGAUGGAAUGAUGUACGACUAUGAUGGCAUUUGGACCGCUGGACAAAUGGGAGACCGUAACGUAGGAAAGUGUAAGAAGUGGUGCUGGACAACGUGGCAAAGGUGGUGGCGGUUACAAAUUUGCUGCCAAAGAAUCUAGAUACUAGAUCAACAAAGCACAAGACAAACACCCCGGAUUACGGAUUGGACUGGCACUCGAUAUCAAUGUAUCAAUAUAUAUAAAAAUAUCAAUAUAUUAUGUGCAUUAAAAAGUAAAAAAAUAAAAAUAUAAAUGUAA